GAUGAACGCUGGCGGCGUGCCUAAUACAUGCAAGUCGAGCGAACGGACGAGAAGCUUGCUUCUCUGAUGUUAGCGGCGGACGGGUGAGUAACACGUGGAUAACCUACCUAUAAGACUGGGAUAACUUCGGGAAACCGGAGCUAAUACCGGAUAAUAUUUUGAACCGCAUGGUUCAAAAGUGAAAGACGGUCUUGCUGUACUUAUAGAUGGAUCCGCGCUGCAUUAGCUAGUUGGUAAGGUAACGGCUUACCAAGGCAACGAUGCAUAGCCGACCUGAGAGGGUGAUCGGCCACACUGGAACUGAGACACGGUCCAGACUCCUACGGGAGGCAGCAGUAGGGAAUCUUCCGCAAUGGGCGAAAGCCUGACGGAGCAACGCCGCGUGAGUGAUGAAGGUCUUCGGAUCGUAAAACUCUGUUAUUAGGGAAGAACAUAUGUGUAAGUAACUGUGCACAUCUUGACGGUACCUAAUCAGAAAGCCACGGCUAACUACGUG
RNAcentral lists this ribosomal RNA (496 nucleotides) under uncultured bacterium. Its description in RNAcentral is "partial 16S ribosomal RNA". It matches the Rfam family "Bacterial small subunit ribosomal RNA", at positions 28 to 507 of the family's 1533-position model. The record is from RNAcentral.